This is a non-coding RNA of Pelobates cultripes (western spadefoot toad), 371 nucleotides long. The record is from the annotation of a GenBank genome assembly. NCBI's taxonomy places the organism in Eukaryota, Metazoa, Chordata, Amphibia, Anura, Pelobatidae.
GUCCUGUGUCAAAAUAACGAAUGUUGAAAGUUUGGUAGCUCUGGCAAGCAUUGUACUGUGCUGAAGUUCUUCCAAGUUUACUGGAGAGAUUCUUUCCUCCUCUAUAUGUUACAUCAUAGUUGCCAAUUAGAGAGUUGGCUACAAACAGGGCUACAUUGUCAGAGCUAUUUCAGCCAGGCCCUUCUACUGCAAUAGCGAUAUGGGCCAGUGGGAGGGCAUCAUCACAUGCACGAAUCUCACUUCCAGUAAACCUACAGGGAGUCAGCAAUGGAACAGCAUCAUUCUCAUAGGUGUAUGAAAGACCACUGAAGUGUCGCUGAGCCAGUUCACACAGCUCCUUGUGAUUAAUUCCUCCAGCAGCUGCAAGUACC